GUGUCAGCAGCCGCGGUAAUACGAAGGGUGCAAGCGUUGCUCGGAAUUAUUGGGCGUAAAGGGUAGGUAGGUGGUCUCAUUUGUCUGGGGUGAAAUCCUUGAGCUUAACUCGAGAAGUGCCUCGGAAACGGUGAGACUAGAGUCCUGGAGAGGGUCGUGGAAUUCCCGGUGUAGCGGUGAAAUGCGUAGAGAUCGGGAGGAACACCAGAGGCGAAGGCGGCGACCUGGACAGGAACUGACACUCAACUACGAAAGCGUGGGGAGCAAACAGGAUUAGAAACCCUAGUAGUCC
RNAcentral lists this ribosomal RNA (292 nucleotides) under uncultured bacterium. RNAcentral's name for it is "partial 16S ribosomal RNA". It matches the Rfam family "Bacterial small subunit ribosomal RNA", at positions 505 to 796 of the family's 1533-position model. The record is from RNAcentral.